AUUGAACGCUGGCGGCAUGCCUAACACAUGCAAGUCGAACGGCAGCACGACCUAGCUUGCUAGGUUGGUGGCGAGUGGCGCACGGGUGAGUAAUGCGUAAGAAUAUACCUUAAAGUGGGGGACAACCUGGGGAAACUCAGGCUAAUACCGCAUGAGCUCUAAGGAGGAAAGCUGGGACCUUUCGGGGCCUGGCGCUUUAAGAAUAGCUUACGUCCGAUUAGUUAGUUGGUGGGGUAAAGGCUUACCAAGACGAUGAUCGGUAGCUGGUCUGAGAGGAUGAUCAGCCACACUGGGACUGAGACACGGCCCAGACUCCUACGGGAGGCAGCAGUGGGGAAUAUUGGACAAUGGGGGAAACCCUGAUCCAGCGAUGCCGCGUGUGUGAAGAGGGCCUGCGGGUUGUAAAGCACUUUCGGUGGGGAGGAGGACUUAUAGGUUAAGAGCUAAUGAGUUGGACGUUACCCACAUAAGAAGCACCGGCUAACUCCGUGCCAGCCGCCGCCGUAA
This 507-nucleotide ribosomal RNA is filed under the name uncultured bacterium. Its description in RNAcentral is "partial 16S ribosomal RNA". It matches the Rfam family "Bacterial small subunit ribosomal RNA", at positions 30 to 523 of the family's 1533-position model. The record is from RNAcentral.